AUGGCGGCCCUCUACGUCCCGCUCCGCGUCAUCGCCUCCCGCCCGCGCGCCCCCACCCUGCGAGUCCUCCUGCCGCUCCACGCCCACCUUCUCACCUCCGGCCGCCUCGCCUCCGCCCCCGCCAUCCUCACCACCCUCGUCUCCCUCUACGCGCGCGUCCCGGCCCUCCACCCCGUCGUCCACCACCUCCUCCCGCCGGCCUCCCCGCUCCCCUGCUUCAACGCCGCGCUCUCCCUGCCCUACCCGCUCGCGCUCCGCGUCUUCGGCCGCCUCCGCGCCGCCCACUUCCCCGACUCCUUCUCCUUCCCGCCGCUCGCCUCCUCCGCCCCGUCCCCGCCCCACCUCCUCGCGAUCCACGCCCUCUCGCUCCGCUGCGACGUCGCCCACGACCUCUUCUGCGCCAGCGCCCUGCUCCGCGGCUACCUCAGGUUCGGCCUCGCCGACCACGCACACCGCCUGUUCGACGAAUUGCCCCUCCGGGACGUCGUGGUCUGGAACGCCAUGGUCAACGGGUUCGCCAAGCUCGGCUGCUUCGACCGCGCCAUGGAGUGCUUCCUGCGGAUGAGGCAGGAUGGCACGGUGGAGGUCAGCGCUUUCACCGUCACCGGAAUCCUGUCGGUCUGCACUGCGGCCGCGGAUUUCCAGUGCGGGGCUGCCGUUCACGGGAUGGUGGUGAAGUCGGGACUCGACCACAAUGUUUCCGUGUGUAACGCCUUGGUGGAUCUUUAUGGGAAGUCCCAUGAUGUGGCCAGUGCGGCGAUGGUGUUUGAGGGGAUGGCAGAGCAGGACAGGGACUUGUUCAGCUGGAACUCGAUGCUGUCCGCAUUGCACUACUCGGCUGACCAUAUGGGGACAAUGAGGCUCUUUCGUAGGAUGAGGCAUGCUGCAGUAUGGCCGGAUGCAGUGACCGUUGCGGCUGUUCUCCCUGCAUGUGCGCAGACUGCUGCACUGAAGGUUGGGAGGACGGUGCAUGGGUACAUUAUCAUGAUCGGACUGGCUCGCGAUGGUGCAAUGGACGUGCGUGCUUGUAAUGCGCUGGUAGACAUGUAUGCCAAGAGCGGGGCACUGGAUGAGGCAUGCCGUGUAUUUUAUUGGAUGCGCCAACAGGACGUGGCAUCAUGGAAUAUUAUGAUCAACGGGUAUGCAUCCCAUGGGCGUGGGCAGGAGGCACUGGGGUUGUUCCGCCAGAUGACAGAGGUGAAAGGUCUGGUGCCAGACGAGGUAACUCUGCUGGCAGCAAUGUCGGCGUGCAGCCACUCUGGGUUUGUCGAAGAAGGGAGAAGUUUACUUAAGAGAAUGAAAGAGGAGUUCGGUUUGGAGCCGCUGAUGGAGCACUUCGCAUGUGUGACUGACAUGCUUGGGCGAGCAGGGAGGCUGGAUGAGGCGAGAAAGGUAGUAGAGGAGGCAGGAGAUGUAGGAGCUGGUGCAUGGAGGACAUACCUUGCAGCAUGCCGGAUGCAUGGUGAUAAAGAAAGGGCCCAAGAGGCAGCUAGGAUGCUGAUGACGACGAAGGAGCCUGGGAGUGGUGGAUGGGUGCUGCUAGCGAACACAUAUGGCUGGGAUGGAAACUUUGAGGGCCUGGAGGAGGUAAGGGGGGAGAUGAGACGGCAGGGAGUGCAGAAGCCUGCACCGGGCUGCAGCUGGGUUGAGGUGGGUGGAGGAAACGGCGAGAGCGGAACAGUUGGGCACGCUUUUGUUAGUGGCGAUAAGGAACACCCCUAG
Molecule: ribosomal RNA, 1722 nt
Filed under: Triticum aestivum (bread wheat)
Lineage: Eukaryota; Viridiplantae; Streptophyta; Magnoliopsida; Poales; Poaceae
Description: partial small subunit ribosomal RNA
Source: RNAcentral